AGGCAGUACAGGGUUCUUAGACAUGCAGGGAACCUUUAGAACAAAUGCCCGAAGGCGUGACCAAGACAACGAAGGAAAGUUCAAAGGUUUAUUAAACACAGUUCAGAGGAAUACUGAUUACUUGGUACAGGUAACAGGAAUCACAGUUCAGAGAAAUACUUGGGAUCGAUGACGGAACACCGAUGGUGACUUGGAAUCUAUGACGGAACACCGAUGGUUACUUUGGGAUCGAUGGCGGAACACCGAUGGUUACUGGAGAUCGAUGGCGGAACACCGAUGGAGACUUGGGAUCGAUGGCGGAACACCGAUGGAGACUUGGGAUCGAUGGCGGAACACCGAUGGAGACUUGGGAUCGAUGGCGGAACACCGAUGGUUACUGGCAGGGCAGAGCACUGCUGGAAGCUGGUGUCAGGUAACUGCCAGUCACAGGGAGCAAUGUAGACACUGCAGAGUCAGGCUGUACUGCAGAGAAAGUCCAUGGAAGAACUGCACACUGGAAUCACUGUAGACAAUUGAAGCACUGACAUCUUUCCACCCCAGGAACAAGAUAUUUAUACCAGCUGGGAAACAGGGAUUGGCUGGCUGAUUAAGCAGAGUCUAGAGUGCAGCUGCUGGGUAAUUAGGUAGAAACCAGAGUGCAGCUGAUUGGCUGAAAAGUAACAUGUGAUGAAAACAAACAUGGCUGCGCCCAUGUUUGAACUUGGAGGGAAAGACUGUUUGUAACUUGCAUGUGAGCUUUAACCAUGAAGCUGCCAGAAUCACAGUAAAGAGUUUAGAGACCAUGAGAUGCAGCGUGCUGCAUGCAGACAGUGCAGAUGGAAUCCAGGCUUGGAACACUGGGACAGUCUCAGGAGGCAUUUGGAAGAAGAGCCAGAAGAAGUUGUGGAAACUCCAAAGAAGACAAAUAUUAAAGAAGAACCAUUGGACCCAUAUGAGUAAGAGCCUUCAACAAGCACAGCUGAGCCUUCCAAGAAGAAGAAGAAGAUAGAGAAGAUUAAUCAGGAUGAAGAGGAGGACUGAGCACUUUUCCUUUAUGAACUGAUGACCCUUUUGCUUGGUUUUACAGCACUUUUCCAUAUGUGUGGAAAGGUGCCUUUAUAUUAGUAUGACGUUCUGUCCAUAUCCAGAAAGCAGAAAUCAGCAAUUGAUUUUUGUAAUAAGCCAAUGACGGUUGUCUUGUACGAUGGAGACUUAGCCGCUGACUGUGUGUAUACAUUGGUUACACUUUCCUAUCCAAAUACACUGUUGUAACCAUAAUCAUUGUGGUGUCGUUCAUUUACAGAUUGCAUUCCAUGCCAGUUUCCAGCUGGAUAGAUACAAUAUAAAGUACAAAUACCUCUGCAAUUGAA
Pseudophryne corroboree (corroboree frog) is the source of this 1349-nucleotide long non-coding RNA. RefSeq lists it as uncharacterized. The transcript has 3 exons. NCBI's taxonomy places the organism in Eukaryota, Metazoa, Chordata, Amphibia, Anura, Myobatrachidae. The record is from RefSeq and is a predicted model, not a curated record.